This 159-nucleotide ribosomal RNA is filed under the name Petrocosmea xanthomaculata. Its description in RNAcentral is "5.8S ribosomal RNA". It matches the Rfam family "5.8S ribosomal RNA". From Rfam's summary of the family: 5.8S ribosomal RNA (5.8S rRNA) is a component of the large subunit of the eukaryotic ribosome. It is transcribed by RNA polymerase I as part of the 45S precursor that also contains 18S and 28S rRNA. Lineage: Eukaryota; Viridiplantae; Streptophyta; Magnoliopsida; Lamiales; Gesneriaceae. The record is from RNAcentral.
ACGACUCUCGGCAACGGAUAUCUCGGCUCUCGCAUCGAUGAAGAACGUAGCGAAAUGCGAUACUUGGUGUGAAUUGCAGAAUCCCGUGAACCAUCGAGUCUUUGAACGCAAGUUGCGCCCGAUGCCAUCAGGUUGAGGGCACGUCUGCCUGGGCGUCAC